AUUUAAACUUAUAAAAAGUUUAAUAUGUCACAAUUUUUUAACAUCAUUAUAUAAUAUAUAGAGUUUAAAAAAAAUUCAAAUUUUUUCCCUUAUAUUUUGUGAUUCGAAAUUUUAAAAAUAAACAUAUAUUAACCAAUUGGCAAAAAAUGUGUGGGUUCAACGUCCCGCAUCGACUAAAAUAUUUAGACAAUGAUUCGUAAACAUAUCAUAAAUAAGAUCAACAUUAAUAAAAUCAAUGGGUUUUUUUACGAGACGGGUUUGGCAUGAAGAGUUUGGCAUAACGUUAUUUAAUAACAACUGUAAAUUAUAAAAUAAAAA
This 318-nucleotide small RNA is filed under the name Arabidopsis thaliana (thale cress). RNAcentral's name for it is "ATSL237210". Lineage: Eukaryota; Viridiplantae; Streptophyta; Magnoliopsida; Brassicales; Brassicaceae. The record is from RNAcentral.